RNAcentral lists this transfer RNA (63 nucleotides) under Velinus nodipes. RNAcentral describes it as "tRNA-Asp". It matches the Rfam family "tRNA". Rfam says of the family: Transfer RNA (tRNA) molecules are approximately 80 nucleotides in length. Their secondary structure includes four short double-helical elements and three loops (D, anti-codon, and T loops). Lineage: Eukaryota; Metazoa; Arthropoda; Insecta; Hemiptera; Reduviidae. The record is from RNAcentral.
AAAAAGUUAGUUUAAUAAAAAUAUUAGUUUGUCAAACUAAAGAUAUUAAUUUAAUACUUUUUA